AAGACCUUGUGCUUUUGGAGCGGCCGAUGCCUGAUUAGCUUGUUGGUAAGGUAAAAGCUUACCAAGGCUUCGAUCAGUAGCUGGUCUGAGAGGACGACCAGCCACACUGGGACUGAGACACGGCCCAGACUCCUACGGGAGGCAGCAGUGGGGAAUUUUGGACAAUGGGGGCAACCCUGAUCCAGCCAUGCCGCGUGAGUGAAGAAGGCCUUCGGGUUGUAAAGCUCUUUCAGCCGGAACGAAACAGUUACGGAUAAUACCCGUGACUACUGACGGUACCGGAAGAAGAAGCACCGGCUAACUACGUGCCAGCAGCCGCGGUAAUACGUAGGGUGCAAGCGUUAAUCGGAAUUACUGGGCGUAAAGCGUGCGCAGGUGGUUUUGUAAGUCAGAUGUGAAAGCCCCGGGCUCAACCUGGGAACU
This 423-nucleotide ribosomal RNA is filed under the name uncultured bacterium. RNAcentral describes it as "bacterial SSU rRNA". It matches the Rfam family "Bacterial small subunit ribosomal RNA", at positions 202 to 622 of the family's 1533-position model. The record is from RNAcentral.